RNAcentral lists this ribosomal RNA (440 nucleotides) under uncultured bacterium. Its description in RNAcentral is "partial 16S ribosomal RNA". It matches the Rfam family "Bacterial small subunit ribosomal RNA", at positions 338 to 795 of the family's 1533-position model. The record is from RNAcentral.
CCUACGGGCGGCAGCAGUGGGGAUUAUUGCACAAUGGGGGAAACCCUGAUGCAGCGACGCCGCGUGAGUGAAGAAGUAAUUCGGUAUGUAAAGCUCUAUCAGCAGGGAAGAAAAUGACGGUACCUGAGUAAGAAGCCCCGGCUAACUACGUGCCAGCAGCCGCGGUAAUACGUAGGGGGCAAGCGUUAUCCGGAUUUACUGGGUGUAAAGGGAGCGUAGACGGCAGUGCAAGUCUGGAGUGAAAGGCGGGGGCUCAACCCCGGGACUGCUCUGGAAACUGUACGGCUGGAGUGCAGGAGAGGAAAGUGGAAUUCCUGGUGUAGCGGUGAAAUGCGUAGAUAUUAGGAGGAACACCAGUGGCGAAGGCGGGUGACUGGACUGUAACUGACGUUGAGGCUCGAAAGCGUGGGGAGCAAACAGGAUUAGAUACCCUUGUAGUC